This 460-nucleotide ribosomal RNA is filed under the name uncultured bacterium. RNAcentral's name for it is "partial 16S ribosomal RNA". It matches the Rfam family "Bacterial small subunit ribosomal RNA", at positions 338 to 795 of the family's 1533-position model. The record is from RNAcentral.
CCUACGGGAGGCAGCAGUGAGGAAUAUUGGUCAAUGGACGCAAGUCUGAACCAGCCAUGCCGCGUGCAGGAAGACGGCUCUAUGAGUUGUAAACUGCUUUUGUACGAGGGUAAACGCAGAUACGCGUAUCUGUCUGAAAGUAUCGUACGAAUAAGGAUCGGCUAACUCCGUGCCAGCAGCCGAGGUAAUACGGAGGAUUCAAGCGUUAUCCGGAUUUAUUGGGUUUAAAGGGUGCGUAGGCGGUCGGAUAAGUUAGAGGUGAAAUCCCGAGGCUCAACUGCGGAAUUGCCUCUGAUACUGGUCGGCUAGAGAGUAGUAGAGGUAGGCGGAAUGUAUGGUGUAGCGGUGAAAUGCGUAGAGAUCAGGCAGAACACCGGUUGCGAAGGCAGCUUACCGGACUACGACUGACGUUGAGGCACGAAAGCGUGGGGAGCAAACAGGAUUAGAUACCCUUGUAGUC